This 658-nucleotide ribosomal RNA is filed under the name Tulasnella sp. M-8. RNAcentral describes it as "LSU rRNA". It matches the Rfam family "Bacterial large subunit ribosomal RNA", at positions 1667 to 2093 of the family's 2925-position model. Lineage: Eukaryota; Fungi; Basidiomycota; Agaricomycetes; Cantharellales; Tulasnellaceae. The record is from RNAcentral.
GUAGGUAGAGAAUACUAAGGCGUAGAGAUAAUACUUGUAAAGGAACUCGGCAAACUGUCUUCAUAAGUUAGACGAUAUGAAGAACCACUUAAUGUUAUUCCUUCCUUAACCUUCACAUUAUAAAACCUAUGCCGUAAGGCUAGGCUAGUAGUGUAGAUGGAUACUAGUCCACCAGUGAUGGUAGGCACAAGUAUAAUUAAGGUUGGAAAGUUAAUUAUCUUAUUUUAACCUAGUAUAAAAGCUAGGUAUAAGAUUUUUAAGGUUUUAUGGUAUCUAUUUCUAGACACCCUUUCAGGGAUUUUAGAAGUAGAGAUACGUAAGCUAAUAAGUAACAAUUAAGUGGUGGCACAGAAUCGGAGGCCCCGACUGUUUACUUAAAACACAGCUUUCUGCGACGAAUAAUAUCUUUGUAUAGAAAGCGAAUUUUGCCCAAUGCCAUUAAUAUAAGGUUGAUAAGCGCUUAGCGUAAUUAUUAAUUGAAGUUCUGGUCAAUGGCGGUCUUAUCUAUGAGGAUCCUAAGGUAGCAAAAUUAAUUGUCCAUUAAAUGUGGUCCUGACUGAAUAAAGUAACGAUGGUCUCGCUGUCUCUACAAGUAUCUCAGUGAAAUUGAAUUAGCCGUGCAGAUGCGGUUUAACUUCGGGUAGACGGGAAGACCCUA